RNAcentral lists this ribosomal RNA (497 nucleotides) under uncultured bacterium. RNAcentral describes it as "partial 16S ribosomal RNA". It matches the Rfam family "Bacterial small subunit ribosomal RNA", at positions 28 to 507 of the family's 1533-position model. The record is from RNAcentral.
GAUGAACGCUGGCGGCGUGCCUAAUACAUGCAAGUCGAGCGAACAGACGAGGAGCUUGCUCCUCUGACGUUAGCGGCGGACGGGUGAGUAACACGUGGAUAACCUACCUAUAAGACUGGGAUAACUUCGGGAAACCGGAGCUAAUACCGGAUAAUAUAUUGAACCGCAUGGUUCAAUAGUGAAAGACGGUUUUGCUGUCACUUAUAGAUGGAUCCGCGCCGCAUUAGCUAGUUGGUAAGGUAACGGCUUACCAAGGCAACGAUGCGUAGCCGACCUGGGAGGGUGAUCGGCCACACUGGAACUGAGACACGGUCCAGACUCCUACGGGAGGCAGCAGUAGGGAAUCUUCCGCAAUGGGCGAAAGCCUGACGGAGCAGCGCCGCGUGAGUGAUGAAGGUCUUCGGAUCGUAAAACUCUGUUAUUAGGGAAGAACAAAUGUGUAAGUAACUAUGCACGUCUUGACGGUACCUAAUCAGAAAGCCACGGCUAACUACGUG